This is a long non-coding RNA of Phyllostomus discolor (pale spear-nosed bat), 4461 nucleotides long. RefSeq lists it as uncharacterized. The record is from RefSeq and is a predicted model, not a curated record. The transcript has 5 exons. Lineage: Eukaryota; Metazoa; Chordata; Mammalia; Chiroptera; Phyllostomidae.
UGGGCACUCCGCCUGAGCCUGAUAUAUCAGGGAAUUUGUGGCCUUUUAUAAUGGGGUCACACGCAAGCCGAAGCACGACUAUACACAAAGUGCCCCGCAAUGAUUUUGAUGGGCAGGACACACUUAUUUCCCCGACCUCCGGCCCCGCACUCAAACCCACUGAGCACACAAGCACGCGCUCACACGAGCGGCUUAGCGCACGCGCCCUGGCUCCUCCCCUCCGUCAGCUUCUUCAGGCCCCGCCCCUCGAGCGCUAUUCUCCGGGACCCUUUCGAUCCCCUCGGCCUUUUCUCCCUGCCUUCACCUCUAAUUGGACGCCGGCCUCCACUGACAAUGUCCCCCGAAGACUUGAGCCCGCCUCCCUCCCAGCCCCGGCGCCGUGGGGGCGGGGCUGGGCGGGGCGUCGGCGCCCUAUUGUCAUGGAGACGGAAAGCUUGCGGCAGCGGUGGCGGGCUCAGCCGGGCAGAGGUGGCCGUGAGCCAGCCGAAGCUGAGGCCGGGCCGAGCGGCCAGGACGACCUAACGAGGAGGGGACGCGAGCCGGCGAGCGGCGGCUUCUCGGGCAGCCCAGGGGCGGCGUCCUGCCGGACGCAGCCAGGCCCGGGUGGUCGCAGGGAGCGCCUCGGGGCGCCCCGCCCUGCUGCCUUGCCCCCCCCCUACGGUCCCCCGCCUCUCUUGGCCCCUCGGCUCCCGAGCGACCGCCCCCGGCUCCGCCCGCCGCCGCCGUUCAGCCCCUCGCGGUAACGGUCGGUAGCGGCCCGCGCGCGCGCCGCCCGCCGGGGGCUCGCGUUGGCCACGAGGGAGCGUCCUCGGCCCGCGCUCCCGCGACGCGAAGGAAAGAAUCGUCUCCGUUUGCCGUGCAGGCGGUGAGUGUGGUGCUUCCGUAACACACUGGGAUGUUUUCAGCUGAGGUGACUGCUGACCCGUGGGCUUCCUCCAGGUGCUGGCUGCACGGCGCCCUUGCACACCCCUGGGCCCAUCUGCGAGCCUGAUCGACAUGGGGUUGCACGGAUGACCGAGAGCUGAAGUAUGACGACAAGUUAGAAAACGCGCGACACAAAUGUAAAGAACACGUUAAGCAACUCUGCCGUCCGCAACAGAGCUACCGCACUGGCUAUUGGAAGGAGGAGAUUCUGAAGAUAGGGAGGUCGGCCCGCUGCUUCCUUGGCAGCUGUUGCGGGGAGUCCCGUGGAAUGGAGAGCCCUGUGUGAUUCUGGAGGAUGUCCUUGAUAAUCCAUUCGCGGGCCGUUUCAUUUGCAAGAACCCCGUGUCGGUGAUAAAGACUGAGUCUGAGAUUCUUGAAGAACAAGUGUCAUGUUCAGUCUGUGCCCAUAAGAAAAGCUUCUGUCUUCUCAAACUGUGUUACCGCAUCGAGUGCGCAGGUUAAAUUGAAAACGUAAAAGCUUUUUGUAAAGGGCCAGUUAGCACCUCUAAAAAUGCUCAUGAAGGGUCACUUUGAGUCACGGUGUUUAUAUAUGUCUCACUUUUAAGGAAAAUGAUACACUUCUCUAGCCAUCGAAAAUAUCUACUCCCUGAGUUAUAUCUGUGGGAAGAUAUUAGCAGGACAAUAAAGGGCUUCGUGGUGUCUAAUUACAUAAUGAGGAAAUUGGUGAGCAAGGUGGUAACUCAAAUUAAUUUCUUCCACUAAAGGAGCUAGUGUACACUUGGAAACAAAGACCCUCGGGAAAUCCCCUUCAAUCUUUAAAUCAAACGCUGUGUUUGGUUAACACAACAGGAAGGGGAAAAUAUUACCAAUCUCAAAAGUUCUUUCCUUCACGCCCAGGUAGUGGUUGUAAGCAGCCGAGGAAAGCGUUACAAUGGGGCCGAGAAAAAAUGGUGAUACUGGAGUGAUUCCUUAGAAAGCAGUUUAGGUCUGCGAAGCAGUCCAGUAUUAGGACCUUGACCAACUUUUACACUUCAUGUGCUUGGUUUAUGGCUCCAGUGUGUAAAAUACCGGCCUCUGGAAUAGCUUCACGCAGAACGUAAGAGUCUUUUUGAAUUGGCUAACAGCCCUUGCUGGUCACCUUAAAAUAUGCUACGAUAUUACAAAGUUACAAUGUCAUAUUUAUUAAUAGAAGGAAAAUAUAAAAUUUAAUAUCUGGGCAACUGAGACCUUUCAACCUAUUUUAAAAGUAUAAUCUUGACAUCUAUGACACUAUUUUUGUCUUUGUUAUGUAGAUAGAAUUAUGGCUAUUCUACAUUUCAAAUGUAUUUAUUAAUUCCAAAUUCUAGUCUCCGUAUUGGGGCUUUUCCAAUAAAAGGUGUGUACGUGCUUCAGAGAGUGAAAUUUUGAGUCUCGGGCUGAUUUAUUAAGCCUUAGUACACAGAAAAACAGCCUUGAUUAAUUUAGGAGUCUGGAAGGGGGCAGGCAAAACCGUGUUGAGCUGAAAUUUCCUAAUGCAGCAACCAUUUAAAUUAAAUGUUUGUUAACAUAAUAGCAAUGGCAUUUUCUCCUCCUCCUCCUCCUCCUUGUGGUUUUGUCCAGCGCGGUGUCGCAGUGGCGGCCGUGCCGACUGCUAAGUGUUUAAAUGAUGACACCAUUCUGUGAAGUGAUUUUGAAAUGAGAGGUUCCAGCCAAGAAUUACGUCUGCCCCCACCUCCGCCACGUCCCCCUCUCUGGCAGUGAAGAUUAUGAUUGAUCUGUUUGUGACAGAUUGCAGGAAGCAGUCAUUGAUUUUUCAAUAUUUUACCUUAAAAUUAUUUACAGUUGUAACCAUGGGGAGGCAUUUCCACGGGCUGUCAGCCCCUGAAAGGCCAGGAUAAUAUUCCCUGCUCUCUGACAAGACAAAUUACCUGUAAUGAGCGCAGUAGCUGAAGGGUAUACUUUUAUUUUAAAAUAUGUCAAUAACCCCAGUGACUAAACGAAUAUUGAUUUAGCAUAAUGAAGCCUGAGUAAUGUGAAAAUGAGCUUUUUCAAGGGGCAUGGCAAAGACUUGCUUUUCGGCUGGUUGCAAGGAGCUUUUCAUUCUUUCCAGCCAGCUAGUGGAGAUAAAGAGUUUUAUAUGCAAAGCAGCAGGAAUGACGGUGGUGUUCCGGAGAACCGCGGUCCAAAUGUUUCGCCCUGGCUCUUAGCGAUUUCUUUUUGAAAUCUCGUGUGGACUCGUACUUGAGUGACGGGAUGGCUGCUGAUUUGCUCGAGCUGAUCUUUAACCCACAUAAUAUUUUUACAGCUUCCACAUAUUUUGCAUUAGACCUUCGGUCAUGAAUAUUAAAAUGUAACCAUACGCACAGUCCCUUGUAGGUGACAUAAUAAUUACCUUAAGACAUUUCAAAUGGGUUAUGGUAGUAGUUAAUGUGCCGUGUUUUAUGGUAGAAUAACUCCCAGUCCCCGGACAUCAGAUCCCUUUCAGGGGGGAUGAAGAUUGAUUUACUUAAGCCCUGAUAUUGUAGAUGCUGGUGUGUGUUUUUGUUUUUAUCAGACUUCUCCCCCUUUUAAAAAUGUCCUUCUCACCUUUUUGUGGAUGAAGAUCUCAACACAGAAGGUCUUUCACGCAGGGGUGACAGCAAAAAAGCAUAUAGCUUUGUUUCCUAGUCCGUCACGAAGCCUGAAGAUUUUAUGCCCGAACCAGUAUCUCCAUAUCUAGCUUGAUAAGGAGCAAUAGGGCAAACAACGGCAGUAACAUGUAGCAGAAAAGUAACUAUUUGAACAAGAUGUCAAACUGAUUAUUUCAUGGGAACCUAACAUGUUCUAUGAUAACUCAUAAUAAUAAAAUCUUAUUAAAAAGCAAUCGGUGGAAUCCCUUUAGAAAUUAAAUCGUAGUUGUCAUUUCAAGAAAGUUCAGAUGGCUCUUUGUGAGUGCAGUGCUGGCAUUAGGAAUGUUGCAAUAAAAUGAAACCCGUAAACAUACCUUUUCGUGGAACACGGGAUGGCCUCUAGCACAAAAAUUCACCGUUUUGUUUUGCCCCGGUACUUGCCUAAGGCCGGGACACAGAGGACUUCUGUCGCUUGCCUUCGUGGGGCCCCGCAGUGAGCCAGGCGGUUUAUAAAAGACCGGUUUCGUGGUUCUGGAUGCCGUGGGACCUCGACUCUACGUCGUCCUGCCCCCACGUCCUUUCCCUGUUCUAUGAAAGAGCCUUUGGAAAUAGAAACAGGAGGGACGCACCACCACCCUAGCAUAAAACUGGCGGUCCUCAUUCUCCAACCUUUACUUUGGUUUAUAAUUGUUUAAGUGGAUGUAGCGUCCACAGCACUUACCUAUGGAUAAGACAUUCGGCUAUGCCUUCCAGGAAAGAGAUUUUAAUAGGUUUUUUUUUUUUUUUAAAUAAAGCAUAGUUUCUUCCGACAAAUCUAUUCUAAGGAAAACAUCUGUAUUGUUGUGCUUAGUUUAUUUUGGAGUGAAAUAGUAAAUACAUUGUAUUGAGUGCCUCUUGACCUCAGCAUUCUUUUAAACCUGUGUGUUCAUUUUACAGUACCUGUGGAGGGCUAUUUAUGUGAAUUGCAUUUAAUAAAUGCGUAGAUACA